CCUACGGGAGGCAGCAGUGGGGAAUCUUGCGCAAUGGGCGAAAGCCUGACGCAGCAACGCCGCGUGCGGGAAGAAGGCUUUCGGGCUGUAAACCGCUUUCAGCAGGAACGAAAAUGACGGUACCUGCAGAAGAAGGAGCGGCCAACUAUGUGCCAGCAGCCGCGGUGAUACAUAGGCUUCAAGCGUUGUCCGGAUUUAUUGGGCGUAAAGGGUUCGUAGGCGGUCGAGUAAGUCGGGUGUGAAAAUUCUGGGCUCAACCCAGAGACGCCACCCGAUACUGCUUGACUUGAGUUCGAUAGGGGAGUGGGGAAUUCCUAGUGUAGCGGUGAAAUGCGCAGAUAUUAGGAGGAACACCGGUGGCGAAGGCGCCACUCUGGAUCGAUACUGACGCUGAGGAACGAAAGCAUGGGUAGCAAACAGGAUUAGAUACCCUGGUAGUCCAUGCCGUAAACGGUGGGCACUAGGUGUGGGUUUCUAUUAACGAAAUCCGCGCCGUCGCUAACGCAUUAAGUGCCCCGCCUGGGGAGUACGGUCGCAAGACUAAAACUCAAAGGAAUUGACGG
This 563-nucleotide ribosomal RNA is filed under the name uncultured bacterium. RNAcentral describes it as "bacterial SSU rRNA". It matches the Rfam family "Bacterial small subunit ribosomal RNA", at positions 338 to 916 of the family's 1533-position model. The record is from RNAcentral.